GAAGCUCAAAGCCGCACUGGAAACACAGUCUUUCAGGAUGUCUGAAAGGGGCAAGUCUGUUUGUGUGGGGGAGAGGAGGGUGCAGACCAGAUUUUUAAAUUGAGAAUGCAACAGUGAAGGAUUUCAAGCUUGGAGUGAGAGGGGAGACUACGAGCCUGCAGUGAUAAGGCAAAGCUGAAGAUUUCAGAGCCAAGGCCACACCCUACAGUUGCCAUGGAAUGGGGUGGCACAGUGGGCUUUGGAGGUAAAGUCUGCAGUUGAGAAGUUCAAGGGUAGCUGGGGAGCUGUGCUUUGGAAAAGCAAUGAGGAGGUAACAGGAAGUCUCUUCUCCUUCUAAAUCCUGUGUUCAUGGAGGAGGGUGGGUUUUCUCCUCUUGAGAGGGAGUUACAUACAAGUUUAAGGGAAAAGAGUCUGAAGUUUCCACCUAAAUGAUUCUGAAAGAAUCAGGGGUGGAGCAAGAAGAGUGAUCCCAUUUAGGCAAGGAAUCCCUGACCCUUAUCUGGCUCAGCUUAACCUGGGAGGGCACAGUCAUCACAUCAGCUGGAGGAAAGAAUGAACAUGGAUUGGAAGAGCCUGCUGGUGUUGCAGAACAACAAUCCGGAAAGCCCUUGGAGGAGCUCCCUCUGUGUGAUUUCAAGAUCCAUUGCAUGGUUGCAGCUGAGAAGUGAACAAGCCUUAUGACCUGGUUUCUCUUGAAGAGGAUCUUUCCGGACCACUGAACUGUUUAAUAUUCUAGAAUUUAUGUUACACAGUAAAAGAUAGACAACUCUGUCUGCAGUUCUGGGACUGGGAUAUGCCUGUGCAUACACGCAUCUGCUCUGUUUUGGUUUCACUUCACUUUAGUUAUUUGAUUUGGUGUCUGCAAAACCCUGUGUGCACAUUUUUAUGAUCCUUGGGACAAUUUACUGCCAACCUUGCUUGAACUCUAAAAUAUGCCUCCAGUUUCGGAAAACCACAAAUUAUUUACCAAGGAGGCAAGGAAAUGGAGGUCACUGGGCUCAUUUCUUACAUAAUUUUCAACUUCCUUUCUGAGGCCUGACAUCUCCCGGCAGUCACAGUGAUGUCUUCCUUAGAUGGAUUCAAUAAUGGGGAAGAACAGAUGAAAAGUGGUGAAAGUUGCUAACUGCUGUGUUCCUCUGCUUGCUUUUCAUGCUGUGUGCCAGGAAUCAAAGCUGGAGGAGCGGAAGGGCACUAUGAUUUGCAUGUGACUGAUAUGUGUAUUCUUUUGUGUUCUCUGUGCUCUAGUCAAAUACUUCAUGUUGAUCUGUCUUUGGGAUCACUGAGCCAAUCUUCAGCUAUACUGUUCAGCUCAUCUGGUAUACAGGGAGUCCACGGAGCCUCCCCUGCAAGCAUCAGUACAGAAGUCGAUGAUAAUCUGGAUGCAAGCCCAGGAGUGUGGAGUCCACUGACUCAGAAGACCUGCAUCUAAGGAAUUGGCUGUUCUUAUCCUUAAGAAUGAUGACUGUGUUUCCAAUUCCAGUAGACCCUUUGAUGCGUUCUGAAUAAAUAUUCCUUUUGGAAUUGAACUUCUAGAGCCCUUAAC
RNAcentral lists this long non-coding RNA (1543 nucleotides) under Homo sapiens (human). RNAcentral describes it as "long non-coding RNA NONHSAT202320.1". Lineage: Eukaryota; Metazoa; Chordata; Mammalia; Primates; Hominidae. The record is from RNAcentral.